UACGUAGGUGGCAAGCGUUGUCCGGAAUUACUGGGCGUAAAGGGCGCGUAGGCGGCCUUCUAAGUCGAACGUGAAAUCCCCGGGCUCAACCCGGGAACUGCGUCCGAUACUGGAAGGCUUGAAUCCGGGAGAGGGAUGCGGAAUUCCAGGUGUAGCGGUGAAAUGCGUAGAUAUCUGGAGGAACACCGGUGGCGAAGGCGGCGUUCUGGACUGCAUCUGACACUGAGAGACGAAAGCCAGGGGAGCAAACGGG
This 253-nucleotide ribosomal RNA is filed under the name uncultured bacterium. RNAcentral describes it as "partial 16S ribosomal RNA". It matches the Rfam family "Bacterial small subunit ribosomal RNA", at positions 524 to 776 of the family's 1533-position model. The record is from RNAcentral.